This 1381-nucleotide ribosomal RNA is filed under the name Microbacterium oleivorans. RNAcentral's name for it is "16S ribosomal RNA". It matches the Rfam family "Bacterial small subunit ribosomal RNA". Lineage: Bacteria; Bacillati; Actinomycetota; Actinomycetes; Micrococcales; Microbacteriaceae. The record is from RNAcentral.
AUGCAAGUUCGAACGGUGAAGCAGAGCUUGCUCUGUGGAUCAGUGGCGAACGGGUGAGUAACACGUGAGCAACCUGCCCCUGACUCUGGGAUAAGCGCUGGAAACGGCGUCUAAUACUGGAUAUGAGCUGCGAUCUAAUGGUCAGCAGUUGGAAAGAUUUUUCGGUCUGGGAUGGGCUCACGGCCUAUCAGCUUGUUGGUGAGGUAAUGGCUCACCAAGGCGUCGACGGGUAGCCGGCCUGAGAGGGUGACCGGCCACACUGGGACUGAGACACGGCCCAGACUCCUACGGGAGGCAGCAGUGGGGAAUAUUGCACAAUGGGCGAAAGCCUGAUGCAGCAACGCCGCGUGAGGGAUGACGGCCUUCGGGUUGUAAACCUCUUUUAGCAGGGAAGAAGCGAAAGUGACGGUACCUGCAGAAAAAGCGCCGGCUAACUACGUGCCAGCAGCCGCGGUAAUACGUAGGGCGCAAGCGUUAUCCGGAAUUAUUGGGCGUAAAGAGCUCGUAGGCGGUUUGUCGCGUCUGCUGUGAAAUCCCGAGGCUCAACCUCGGGUCUGCAGUGGGUACGGGCAGACUAGAGUGCGGUAGGGGAGAUUGGAAUUCCUGGUGUAGCGGUGGAAUGCGCAGAUAUCAGGAGGAACACCGAUGGCGAAGGCAGAUCUCUGGGCCGUUACUGACGCUGAGAGCGAAAGGGUGGGGAGCAAACAGGCUUAGAUACCCUGGUAGUCCACCCCGUAAACGUUGGGAACUAGUUGUGGGUCCAUUCCCGGAUUCCGUGACGCACUAACGAUUAAGUUCCCCGCCUGGGGGAGUACGGCCGCAAGGCUAAAACUCAAAAGGAAUUGACGGGGACCCGCACAAGCGGCGGAGCAUGCGGAUUAAUUCGAUGCAACGCGAAGAACCUUACCAAGGCUUGACAUAUACGAGAACGGGCCAGAAAUGGUCAACUCUUUGGACACUCGUAAACAGGUGGUGCAUGGUUGUCGUCAGCUCGUGUCGUGAGAUGUUGGGUUAAGUCCCGCAACGAGCGCAACCCUCGUUCUAUGUUGCCAGCACGUAAUGGUGGGAACUCAUGGGAUACUGCCGGGGUCAACUCGGAGGAAGGUGGGGAUGACGUCAAAUCAUCAUGCCCCUUAUGUCUUGGGCUUCACGCAUGCUACAAUGGCCGGUACAAAGGGCUGCAAUACCGCGAGGUGGAGCGAAUCCCAAAAAGCCGGUCCCAGUUCGGAUUGAGGUCUGCAACUCGACCUCAUGAAGUCGGAGUCGCUAGUAAUCGCAGAUCAGCAACGCUGCGGUGAAUACGUUCCCGGGUCUUGUACACACCGCCCGUCAAGUCAUGAAAGUCGGUAACUACCUGAAGCCGGUGGCCCAACCCUUGUGG